RNAcentral lists this ribosomal RNA (497 nucleotides) under uncultured bacterium. Its description in RNAcentral is "partial 16S ribosomal RNA". It matches the Rfam family "Bacterial small subunit ribosomal RNA", at positions 28 to 507 of the family's 1533-position model. The record is from RNAcentral.
GAUGAACGCUGGCGGCGUGCCUAAUACAUGCAAGUCGAGCGAACGGACGAGAAGCUUGCUUCUCUGAUGUUAGCGGCGGACGGGUGAGUAACACGUGGAUAACCUACCUAUAAGACUGGGAUAACUUCGGGAAACCGUAGCUAAUACCGGAUAAUAUUUUGAACCGCAUGGUUCAAAAGUGAAAGACGGUCUUGCUGUCACUUAUAGAUGGAUCCGCGCUGCAUUAGCUAGUUGGUAGGGUAACGGCUUACCAAGGCAACGAUGCAUAGCCGACCUGAGAGGGUGAUCGGCCACACUGGAACUGAGACACGGUCCAGACUCCUACGGGAGGCAGCAGUAGGGAAUCUUCCGCAAUGGGCGAAAGCCUGACGGGGCAACGCCGCGUGAGUGAUGAAGGUCUUCGGAUCGUAAAACUCUGUUAUUAGGGAAGAACAUAUGUGUAAGUAACUGUGCACAUCUUGACGGUACCUAAUCAGAAAGCCACGGCUAACUACGUG